Vulpes vulpes (red fox) is the source of this 1615-nucleotide long non-coding RNA. The record is from Ensembl. Lineage: Eukaryota; Metazoa; Chordata; Mammalia; Carnivora; Canidae.
CCUGUGUGCUGCAGCUGGGACCGUUUAUAAUAGGAAAAAAAGAGAAUGACCAGGCCAGCCGGCUGGAAAAUAAAGAGACUUAAAAAGAAAAGGGCUAGGCUGUUCUUCUCCUGUGGAGGCUUUGGUUAGGCAGAAAGUUUUAGUUCCUUUCUGAAAGGCAUUUGGGCUUUUGAAGUCCCCUGCGGGAGCUCCCUCUGGCCCCUGGGAAGCCAGGCCCUGGCAUGUCCCAAUGUGCGUGGCCAGGAUGGGGCCGGGGCACUCAGAGGAGGCAGCAGCAGGCCCUGGGAAACACUGCAGCAGGCUGGGCUCACUGGGGCCCCAGCCCGGCCCCCCUCUGCUCCCAGCCUGAGCCCUACCACCCUGCUUUGGGGGUCUUUCACCUGAAUUUCCUCUGCUGCCUCUGGCUUUGAAUCCUGGCCUGGUGCUAGGUCUGGGAACUAGAGAGAUUUCACAAACGGGGCGACUGAGGAAAAGGGAGGGUUUGCUUGGGGUAAACCUCAGGGAAUAUAGACGUCUUGAGGGCCUGUUGUGUGUGCUUUGCCUAUCAAUAUUAACAUUAGCUAAUAUUUAUUAUGCCCUUGUAGCAUGGAAGGGCCCAGUUAAUGAAUCCAGGGACCUAACAGAUAGAAAGGGACAACUGUCUGCGAAGGUACCUCUCCCAGCAACUGCCUUACCAGCUCUCUUCUGGGGCCUUUGCUGGUUCCAUUCAUUGCAAAUGAGCUCUCCUCCUUGUCUGUCCACCCCUCAGCAGGGUCACACACCAUAUCCAUCACUGAAGAAGGACCACAGUCAAAACAUGACAUUUAUCAACCAGCUACUAUAUGCAAGGUCCUGGGUGCCAGCUCGUUUCAUGCCCUCUGCACAUCCUGGAGCAGAAUCACAGGUGUUGGAAAAGAAGUCUUUUGAGAGCACAAAGCAACAAGUGAUCCUGAGUCCAGUGACCUCAGGCAUGUGUGUGCCACACACCGGGGCAGUUAGAGGUGGUCUGGGGAGAUUCUCAGAGCCAAGGCCAAGAGUUUCAAGCUUUCUGAGGGUGUGAGUCCACUGGGACCCUCCUGCUAAGUUGGUUUCUUUGCCGCCUUGUGGGUGUUCCCUGCAAAGACUGCUGACACUUGAAGAAUUAAAUAAUUAUAAUAAUGAUGAUAAAAUAGAAAUGGCUUUUCCAGCUGAACAGAAACUGAAGACAAGGAGGUUCCCACACCCGUUGUAUUGUUUUUGGCACUGUACUCCCAAAGCCCCCGGGAGGCAGAUGUCUGGGCUCUCUGAGUCGUGGUCAUGGAAGGGGGCGGGGGAGGCAAUGGGGACCUUUGGAGAAUUUCAGGGGCAUCUGUGGGGACUUCCCGCCCCAAAAAGCCAGGCUGAGAACUGAGCAGGGAAAGGGACUUGUCUUGUCUUACUCUGUUCGGAAGCCUCAGAAGCUUCAAGAACAAGUCCUGUAAGAGGGACCCUCAAUGUUGUAAACACCCAUGUAGAGGCCACUGCCUGUUAGCAAUUGAGGGGUGCCAGGCCUUCUCCUGAUGGUUUGACCUUAGUACCCCCAGGACAGGAGUGCCCAGAGAAACCUGGAUGCCACGAAUAGGUGGAUCAUGCUAAUAAAACCACAAGGCAGAAGACA